This 251-nucleotide ribosomal RNA is filed under the name uncultured bacterium. RNAcentral's name for it is "partial 16S ribosomal RNA". It matches the Rfam family "Bacterial small subunit ribosomal RNA", at positions 524 to 776 of the family's 1533-position model. The record is from RNAcentral.
UACGGAGGAUGCGAGCGUUAUCCGGAUUUAUUGGGUUUAAAGGGUGCGUAGGCGGGCAUUUAAGCCGGCGGUCAAAUGUCGGGGCUCAACCCCGGCCUGCCGUCGGAACUGGGUGCCUUGAGUGGGCGAGAAGUACGCGGAAUGCGUGGUGUAGCGGUGAAAUGCAUAGAUAUCACGCAGAACUCCGAUUGCGAAGGCAGCAUACCGGCGCCGACUGACGCUGAGGCACGAAAGUGCGGGUAUCGAACAGG